Molecule: transfer RNA, 71 nt
Filed under: Angiostrongylus costaricensis
Lineage: Eukaryota; Metazoa; Nematoda; Chromadorea; Rhabditida; Metastrongylidae
Rfam family: tRNA
About the family: Transfer RNA (tRNA) molecules are approximately 80 nucleotides in length. Their secondary structure includes four short double-helical elements and three loops (D, anti-codon, and T loops). Further hydrogen bonds mediate the characteristic L-shaped molecular structure. tRNAs have two regions of fundamental functional importance: the anti-codon, which is responsible for specific mRNA codon recognition, and the 3' end, to which the tRNAs corresponding amino acid is attached (by aminoacyl-tRNA synthetases). tRNAs cope with the degeneracy of the genetic code in two manners: having more than one tRNA (with a specific anti-codon) for a particular amino acid; and 'wobble' base-pairing, i.e. permitting non-standard base-pairing at the 3rd anti-codon position.
Source: Rfam by way of RNAcentral
GACCGCUUGGCGCAAUGGUAGCGCGUUCGACUCCAGAUCGAAAGGUUGGCGUUCGAUCCGCUCAGUGGUCA